CGCCACGUAAGGAGACUAAUCACCUUUGACAGAAGUUCGCGGGCUGCUGAAGGAAACUAACCAAAGCAAGCGCCUUUCGAAAUGAUCUGGUACGACAAUUUAUAGGGCUUUUCUCAUAAAUGUUCAGUCAGGCCUAGAUCGAAAGGUUGCCCCAGCCGGCAGUGAAAAAAAUCAUCAUCAAUGAUGAUUCGAAAUCAUAUGUCAAUUCCUACAGAGCAGGGGGUGUAUUGAAGCAUAC
RNAcentral lists this long non-coding RNA (238 nucleotides) under Gossypium barbadense (sea-island cotton). Its description in RNAcentral is "long non-coding RNA (GBAR_LNC009151)". The record is from RNAcentral. Lineage: Eukaryota; Viridiplantae; Streptophyta; Magnoliopsida; Malvales; Malvaceae.